CUGGCUCAGGAUGAACGCUAGCUACAGGCUUAACACAUGCAAGUCGAGGGGCAGCAUGAUCGAAGCUUGCUUUGAUUGAUGGCGACCGGCGCACGGGUGAGUAACGCGUAUCCAACCUUCCCUGUAGUAGAGAAUAGCCCGGCGAAAGUCGGAUUAAUGCUCUAUGUUGUAUUUCGAUGACAUCUGAAGAAUACCAAAGGUUUACCGCUAUAGAAUGGGGAUGCGUCUGAUUAGGUUGUUGGCGGGUAACGGCCCACCAAGCCCACGAUCAGUAGGGGUUCUGAGAGGAAGGUCCCCCACAUUGGAACUGAGACACGGUCCAAACUCCUACGGGAGGCAGCAGUGAGGAAUAUUGGUCAAUGGACGGAAGUCUGAACCAGCCAAGUAGCGUGCAGGAUGACGGCCCUAUGGGUUGUAAACUGCUUUUAUAUAGGGAUAAAGUCGGGGACGUGUCCCCGUUUGUAGGUACUAUAUGAAUAAGGACCGGCUAAUUCCGUGCCAGCAGCUGC
This 509-nucleotide ribosomal RNA is filed under the name uncultured bacterium. RNAcentral's name for it is "bacterial SSU rRNA". It matches the Rfam family "Bacterial small subunit ribosomal RNA", at positions 19 to 518 of the family's 1533-position model. The record is from RNAcentral.